CUCGUAGGCGGCCAACUAAGUCCGACGUGAAAUCCCAAAGCUUAACUUUGGAACUGCGUCGGAUACUGGAUGGCUUGAAUUCGGGAGAGGGAUGCAGAAUUCCAGGUGUAGCGGUGAAAUGCGUAGAUAUCUGGAGGAACACCGGUGGCGAAGGCGGCGUCCUGGACCAACACUGACACUGAGGAGCGAAAGCCAGGGAGCAAACG
This 206-nucleotide ribosomal RNA is filed under the name uncultured bacterium. RNAcentral describes it as "partial 16S ribosomal RNA". It matches the Rfam family "Bacterial small subunit ribosomal RNA", at positions 568 to 774 of the family's 1533-position model. The record is from RNAcentral.